CCAGAUGAACCCUCUGCAUGGUUUCCCUUGACUGCCCUUACACAAGGCCUGUGAAUAGGGCCUGGCACAUGGGCUGUCUUUGGACAAGUCCCUGUUCAGAAAAUUGUCCCUGAGGAAUGAAAUGCUUCUGAGACUCCUGCAUCCUGGUCCUCACUUCCACCGGGGGAAGAUUGAUUUCUUCUGAUUUCUGUUGCCUUUUGAAACGCUUCUCUAUUUCACUGUGGGUGCGUAGAAGCUAUGAACUCGGAACUUUCGUUGUUGUCUGAGGACCAGAAGAAGAUGUGCAAGAAAGCCUGUUGAGUAGAAUCUCAUCAAAGGGGAGUGGGCAGCCCAGGAGUUGGGGGGGCUGCGCUGGCAGGGCUGUCACUCAGCCUGAUGGAACGCCUGGCCGAGGAGUACGGCGCGAGGGUGGUGCGGACACUGACGGUGCAGUACCGCAUGCAC
This 444-nucleotide small RNA is filed under the name Pongo abelii (Sumatran orangutan). RNAcentral's name for it is "processed transcript". Lineage: Eukaryota; Metazoa; Chordata; Mammalia; Primates; Hominidae. The record is from RNAcentral.